This is a long non-coding RNA of Saccostrea cuccullata (small rock oyster), 1583 nucleotides long. RefSeq lists it as uncharacterized. The transcript is spliced from 3 exons. The record is from RefSeq and is a predicted model, not a curated record. NCBI's taxonomy places the organism in Eukaryota, Metazoa, Mollusca, Bivalvia, Ostreida, Ostreidae.
AGUUCUCAGUUUGCAUUAAAAGUUCUCAGUUUGCAUGUAAAAUUUUUUAAUAAGACAAUGAAAAUUAACUUGUACUGUAUCACGAUACAUACAUGACGAUACGAUAUACAUAUCGUGAGGCCUUGCGAUCAAUACAAUCGAUGUAUCGCUGUAUUGUUACACCUCUAAUUAAAACUGAGUGUUACACUGUUGGGUAUAUCUAUAAUGCAACCUACAUUAAGUACAUACAACAACACAUGAUAUCAGAGUCUAGACACACCUAAUGUCACAUGACAUUUGACAAGCCCAUCUUAUUAAAAAAAUAAAUCAGUAUCUGAGCUCAUCCUAAUGGUUGCAUCGUCAACAUAUUACGAAUUAAUAGGAUGAUUUUCUCCUAUAGUUUGGACUUUCAGUAGCAUGGCAUUCUCGGCGCUACGUAAUGGUGAAUACUAGUAGAUUCUUAUUGGUUAAGAAAUUAUAACAUCAAGAACUUAAAAUUAUUGUUGACAACGAUGAGGCGACUUAUGCCUCACCUCUGUGCCGUGUGAGAACUUUUGAUUGGCAAUUUACUACACCAGUUGACAUUUGGCCGCAUUUCUAUCAUAUGUAUAUUUCAACAGUGAAGGGAAGCAGUGUAAAUUUCAGAAGCAAAUUAGGUAACAUCGAGAAUGCCACACCUUACUGAAAGUCCAAACUAAUCGUAUAAUGGUCCUAUUUCUCAGAAUGUUCAAGGCAACCAGAAGCUUGAGUCCAUCCUGAACAUAGAGACAACACAGAUAUUAGCCAAGCUAGAUAUUGCUAGAGGAUUAGUCAAUGCAAUUCAGCAAGGACUAGUGAUGGAUAUGUUCCAGGUUCCACAGCUAGGAGAAUGUCAGGAAGAAAAGCCUCAUCAUUAAAAGUGUUACAGCAUCUUCAGAUGGUGAAAUGUCAAGCAAAAAGUGCAUUCCAAGCCCUCAAGAAGUUGUGUCAAGCCCUAGUCGUGAAGGCAUUCCAGAUCUAAAGAGUAGAAAUGGACCUAUAUGUAUGGUUUUAUUGAUGAAAAUAUGCCAUGCCCCAGUGACAAAGGUGAACCAGUUUCUAAAAAUGGAGAUGAAGCUUGACCCUGGAAAGAAAGCAUGUCUGUCUCUAAUGAUAGAGAUGUGACUUUAUCCAGGGACUGAGAUCUGCCAGUUCUAAAUGAAGGAGAUUUGCCAGGUGCUGAUAUUACUGAUAUCCUACAUGUGGGUCCCAUCUGCUCAAGGUUCCAAUAGUGAAAAAUCUUGGUUAGGAAUGAAGUGUCAUCAGGUAUUGCUUCUAUCAAGAAUCUUCUUUCUUUAGAAUUAAUAAGAUUAAAGCUUAAAUUAUUAGGGCCCGCAAGGAUUUGCGGGUGCCCUGUAGUAAUCACUCUGUCUGUCCGUCUGUCUUCUUCUGUCCACAAAUUUUCUGUUUUUUCCUAAUAACUUUUUUUAUGGUAGCCCAAUUAAGUUCACAUAGGAAAAUUUUUUUAAAAUCUUCUUCUCAAGAACCACUGGGCUGGGAAAGAUGAAACUCAUGUGAAAUUAUCCUCAGGUAGUGUCGAUUCAAGUUUGUUCAAAUCAUGACCCCCGGGAUAGGGUGGGGCCAAA